GACGAACGCUGGCGGCGUGCUUAACACAUGCAAGUCGAACGGAAAGGCCCUGCUUUUGUGGGGUGCUCGAGUGGCGAACGGGUGAGUAACACGUGAGUAACCUGCCCUUGACUUUGGGAUAACUUCAGGAAACUGGGGCUAAUACCGGAUAGGAGCUCCUGCUGCAUGGUGGGGGUUGGAAAGUUUCGGCGGUUGGGGAUGGACUCGCGGCUUAUCAGCUUGUUGGUGGGGUAGUGGCUUACCAAGGCAUUGACGGGUAGCCGGCCUGAGAGGGUGACCGGCCACAUUGGGACUGCGAGACGGCCCAGACGGCUACGGGAGGCAGCAGGGGGGAAUAUUGCACAAUGGGCGGAAGCCUGAUGCAGCAGCGCCGGGGGCGGGAUGACGGCUUUCGGGGUGUAAACCGCUUUAGCCUGUGACGAAGCGGGAGUGACGGUAAUGGGUAAAGAAGCACCGGCUAACUACGUG
This 468-nucleotide ribosomal RNA is filed under the name uncultured bacterium. Its description in RNAcentral is "partial 16S ribosomal RNA". It matches the Rfam family "Bacterial small subunit ribosomal RNA", at positions 28 to 507 of the family's 1533-position model. The record is from RNAcentral.